This 424-nucleotide long non-coding RNA is filed under the name Ananas comosus (pineapple). RNAcentral describes it as "long non-coding RNA (ACOM_LNC002765)". The record is from RNAcentral. Lineage: Eukaryota; Viridiplantae; Streptophyta; Magnoliopsida; Poales; Bromeliaceae.
CCCCAUAAGUUACAUCAGAGGGCUUGGUGAUUGAUACCCGAAACCCAAAUUCGAAUCCUACUCGAUUCACAUUUUUAGCUAAGUUUAUUUCUAAACGAAAUAAACGAAGCGGCUAGCGUGCUACCUGUCUCUCUCUCUCUCAAAAAAAAAAGACAUACAAUAAAAGAGCACUGCAAUUUGUACCACCCAAAAGGAGUAUAUAUCUUAUAAAAAUAUUUAAAAUAUAACAGUCGCAUGAGUUAUGCAGUUUUUCAACCAAUCGAAUUGCUUUCCUGUGAUUCAUCCAUCUCUAGAAAGACAUUUUUGUUAUAUUUUUCUCUCAGAAAAAAAAAAUAUGAUUAGCUGGACAUAGUUAAUGUAGUGUAGCUGUUAUAUAGUAGACUUCCUUGUAUCUUACGGUCACUCAUUCAAGGGUCGAUAAUUA